UAGGCUUGAAAAGCAAGUGACAGGGUGUGAAAGCACCUUUCCCUUCGGGGCACUUGUACAGGUGCUGCAUGGCUGUCGUCAGCUCGUGCCGUGAGGUGUUGGGUUAAGUCCCGCAACGAGCGCAACCCUUACUAUUAGUUGCCAUCAGGUUAAGCUGGGCACUCUAAUAGGACUGCCUACGCAAGUAGUGAGGAAGGUGGGGAUGACGUCAAGUCCGCAUGGCCCUUACGCCUAGGGCCACACACGUGCUACAAUGGAUACAACAGAGGGUAGCCAAGCCGCAAGGUGGAGCCAAUCCCAUAAAAGUAUCCUCAGUUCGGAUUGGAGUCUGCAACUCGACUCCAUGAAGUUGGAAUUGCUAGUAAUCGCGCAUCAGCACGGCGCGGUGAAUA
This 392-nucleotide ribosomal RNA is filed under the name uncultured bacterium RSD10. Its description in RNAcentral is "bacterial SSU rRNA". It matches the Rfam family "Bacterial small subunit ribosomal RNA", at positions 976 to 1368 of the family's 1533-position model. The record is from RNAcentral.